AGCAAUAAAUCUAAAUAGUAAAAAACAAACCUAUUAAAUCUAAAUUUAUAGGUUCGACUCCUAUUAUUGCUC
This 72-nucleotide transfer RNA is filed under the name Pestalotiopsis fici W106-1. It matches the Rfam family "tRNA". Rfam says of the family: Transfer RNA (tRNA) molecules are approximately 80 nucleotides in length. Lineage: Eukaryota; Fungi; Ascomycota; Sordariomycetes; Amphisphaeriales; Sporocadaceae. The record is from Rfam by way of RNAcentral.